GACGAACGCUGGCGGCGUGCCUAAUGCAUGCAAGUAGAACGCACAGUUUAUACCGUAGCUUGCUACACCAUAGACUGUGAGUUGCGAACGGGUGAGUAACGCGUAGGUAACCUGCCUGGUAGCGGGGGAUAACUAUUGGAAACGAUAGCUAAUACCGCAUAAUAUUAAUUAUUGCAUGAUAAUUAAUUGAAAGGUGCAAUUGCACCACUACCAGAUGGACCUGCGUUGUAUUAGCUAGUAGGGGAGGUAACGGCUCACCUAGGCGACGAUACAUAGCCGACCUGGGAGGGUGAUCGGCCACACUGGGACUGAGACACGGCCCAGACUCCUACGGGAGGCAGCAGUAGGGAAUCUUCGGCAAUGGACGAAAGUCUGACCGAGCAACGCCGCGGGAGUGAAGAAGGGUUUCGGAUCGUAAAGCUCUGUUGUAAGAGAAGAAAGGGUGUGAGAGUGGAAAGUUCACACUGUGACGGUAGCUUACCAGAAAGGGACGGCUAACUACGUG
This 505-nucleotide ribosomal RNA is filed under the name uncultured bacterium. Its description in RNAcentral is "partial 16S ribosomal RNA". It matches the Rfam family "Bacterial small subunit ribosomal RNA", at positions 28 to 507 of the family's 1533-position model. The record is from RNAcentral.